AGCUAAUACUUGCUUUAGCACUCUUGAUUAAGUUCUUGAGUGUGUACUUGUUAAGCCUUUUAAGAAAAAAGUUAUUAACUUAAGGAAUUAUUACAAAGAAGUAACACGUAAAUGGAUUUUCCAUUUUUUAGUGUGUAUCAAUCGAGUUUCUGACCUAUCAGCUUUUGAUGUUAGGGUAUUGGCCUAACAUGGCUAUGACGGGUAACGGGGAAUUAGAGUUCGAUUCCGGAGAGGGAGCCUGAGAAAUAGCUACCACAUCUAAGGAAGGCAGCAGGCGCGUAAAUUACCCAAUUCUAAAGAAGAGAGGUAGUGACAAGAAAUAACAAUACAAGGCCAAUCUGGCUUUGUAAUUGGAAUGAUGGGAAUUUAAAACCUUCCCAAAACUCAAUUGGAGGGCAAGUCUGGUGCCAGCAGCCGCGGUAAUUCCAGCUCCAAUAGCGUAUAUUAAAAUUGUUGCAGUUAAAACGCUCGUAGUUGAAUUUCAAAGAAUCGAUAUUUUAAGUAACGCUUUGUAGAUUAAUCCACAUAACUGAUACUACGUAUCGACUUUGUGCGCAUUUUUCUACUUAUGUGUUCUUUUAAUUAAAAUGAUUCUUUUUAAGAUCUUUCUUUUUUGCUUCGGCAUUUUAGGAGAUCUUGUUACUUUGAGUAAAUUAGAGUGUUCAAAGCAAACAGAUUAUAGCAUCUUUAUGCGUUUGAAUACUACAGCAUGGAAUAACAAAAUUGAACAAGUCAGAAUUUUGUUCUUUUUUCUUAUUUUGGCUUAGUUACGAUUAAUAGGAGUAGCUUGGGGGCAUUUGUAUUCAGAUGUCAGAGGUGAAAUUCUUAGAUUUUCUGGAGACAAACAACUGCGAAAGCAUUUGCCUAAAAUACUUCCAUUAAUCAAGAACGAAAGUUAAGGGAGUGAAGACGAUCAGAUACCGUCGUAAUCUUAACCAUAAACUAUGCCGACUAGGCUUUGGAUGAAAGAUUUUAAAAUAAGAGUUUUUUCUCUGAGGAGUUAAAACUCUUAGAUUGCUUCCUCCAGUGCCUUAUGAGAAAUCAAAGUCUUUGGGUUCUGGGGCGAGUAUUCGCGCAAGCGAGAAAGUUAAAAGAAUUGACGGAAGGGCACCACCAGGCGUGGAGCUUGCGGCUUAAUUUGACUCAACACGGGAAAACUCACUAGUUUAAGACAAGAGUAGGAUUGACAGAUUAAUAGCUCUUUCUUGAUUUCUUGGAUGGUGAUGCAUGGCCGUUUUUAGUUCGUGAAUAUGAUUUGUCUGGUUAAUUCCGAUAACGAACGAGAUCUUAACCUGCUAAUUAGCGGCAAAUACGAUAUAUUCUUAUGUGGAAUUGAAUAUAGUUGAUUUGCUUAUUUUGAAGAAAAUAUUGGGAUACGUAAAUGUAUCCCUUUCCCUUUUCUACUUAAUUUGCUUAUUAUACUAUUUCUUUUUUGCGUAAGAAUGUAUUUGCUUGAUUGUAAAGCUUCUUAGAGGAACGAUGUGUGUCUAACACAAG
Molecule: ribosomal RNA, 1497 nt
Filed under: Plasmodium sp.
Lineage: Eukaryota; Apicomplexa; Aconoidasida; Haemosporida; Plasmodiidae
Description: SSU rRNA
Rfam family: Eukaryotic small subunit ribosomal RNA
Source: RNAcentral